AUGCAAGUCGAGCGGCAGCGCGGGGCAACCUGGCGGCGAGCGGCGAACGGGUGAGUAAUACAUCGGAACAUGUCCAGUCGUGGGGGAUAGCCCGCCGAAAGGCGGAUUAAUACCGCAUACGCCCGAGAGGGGAAAGCGGGGGACCGUAAGGCCUCGCGCGAUUGGGUUGGCCGAUGUCCGAUUAGCUUGUUGGUGAGGUAAAAGCUCACCAAGGCGAUGAUCGGUAGCUGGUCUGAGAGGAUGAUCAGCCACACUGGGACUGAGACACGGCCCAGACUCCUACGGGAGGCAGCAGUGGGGAAUUUUGGACAAUGGGGGCAACCCUGAUCCAGCCAUUCCGCGUGAGUGAAGAAGGCCUUCGGGUUGUAAAGCUCUUUUGUCCGGAACGAAACGGUGCAGGUGAAUAUCCUGCGCUACUGACGGUACCGGAAGAAUAAGCACCGGCUAACUACGUGCCAGCAGCCGCGGUAAUACGUAGGGUGCAAGCGUUAAUCGGAAUUACUGGGCGUAAAGCGUGCGCAGGCGGUUUUGUAAGCCAGAUGUGAAAUCCCCGGGCUUAACCUGGGAAUGGCAUUUGGGACUGCAAGGCUUGAGUACGGCAGAGGGGACUAGAAUUCCUGGUGUAGCAGUGAAAUGCGUAGAUAUCAGGAGGAAUACCGAUGGCGAAGGCAGGUCCCUGGGCUGAUACUGACGCUCAUGCACGAAAGCGUGGGGAGCAAACAGGAUUAGAUACCCUG
This 737-nucleotide ribosomal RNA is filed under the name uncultured beta proteobacterium. RNAcentral's name for it is "bacterial SSU rRNA". It matches the Rfam family "Bacterial small subunit ribosomal RNA", at positions 55 to 789 of the family's 1533-position model. The record is from RNAcentral. Lineage: Bacteria; Pseudomonadati; Pseudomonadota; Betaproteobacteria.